ACUAUUUUGGCAGAAAUAAUGUAAUGAUUUUAGAAUUCAUAUAUGUAUAAUUAUAAGUUAUAUAGAUAGUA
This 71-nucleotide transfer RNA is filed under the name Helcystogramma macroscopa. RNAcentral describes it as "tRNA-Leu". Lineage: Eukaryota; Metazoa; Arthropoda; Insecta; Lepidoptera; Gelechiidae. The record is from RNAcentral.